GAUGAACGCUGGCGGCGUGCUUAACACAUGCAAGUCGAACGAAGCAUUUGCGACAGAUUUUUUCGGAAUGAAGUUGCUCAUGACUGAGUGGCGGGCGGGUGAGUCACGCGUGGGUAACCUGCCUUGUACUGGGGGAUAGCAGCUGGAAACAGCUGGUAAUACCGCAUAAGCGCACAAUGUAGCAUGACAUGGUUGGAAAAAGUCCGGUGGCAUAGGAUGGAGUCGCGUCUGAUUAGCUAGUUGGUGAGAUAACAGCCCACCAAGGCGACGAUCAGUAGCCGACCUGAGAGGGUGACCGGCCACAUCGGGACUGAGACACGGACUAGACUCGGACGCAGAGGAGCAGUGGGGAAUAUUGCACAAUGGAGGAAACUCUGAUGCAGCGACGCCGCGUGAGUGAAGAAGUAAUUCGUUAUGUAAUGCUCUAUCAGCAGGGAAGAUAGUGACGGUACCUGACUAAGAAGCUCCGGCUAAAUACGUG
This 481-nucleotide ribosomal RNA is filed under the name uncultured bacterium. RNAcentral describes it as "partial 16S ribosomal RNA". It matches the Rfam family "Bacterial small subunit ribosomal RNA", at positions 28 to 507 of the family's 1533-position model. The record is from RNAcentral.